ACGGGUGAGUAACACGUAUGCAAUCCACCUGUAACAGGGGGAUAACCCGGAGAAAUCCGGACUAAUACCCCAUAAUAUGGGCGCUCCGCAUGGAGAGCCCAUUAAAGAGAGCAAUUUUGGUUACAGACGAGCAUGCGCUCCAUUAGCCAGUUGGCGGGGUGACGGCCCACCAAAGCGACGAUGGAUAGGGGUUCUGAGAGGAAGGUCCCCCACAUUGGAACUGAGACACGGUCCAA
Molecule: ribosomal RNA, 236 nt
Filed under: uncultured bacterium
Lineage: Bacteria
Description: partial 16S ribosomal RNA
Rfam family: Bacterial small subunit ribosomal RNA
Source: RNAcentral